UACGGAGGGUGCAAGCGUUGUUCGGAAUUACUGGGCGUAAAGCGCGUGUAGGCGGAUUGAGUAGUCGGGUGUGAAAUCCCUCGGCUUAACUGAGGAAGUGCGCCCGAAACCAUCAAUCUGGAGGUCCGGAUGGGACCGGGGAAUUCCCAGUGUAGAGGUGAAAUUCGUAGAUAUUGGGAAGAACACCGGUGACGAAGGUGCCGGUCUGGACGGAUUCUGACGCUGAUACGCGAAAGCAUGGGGAG
Molecule: ribosomal RNA, 245 nt
Filed under: uncultured delta proteobacterium
Lineage: Bacteria; Deltaproteobacteria
Description: partial 16S ribosomal RNA
Rfam family: Bacterial small subunit ribosomal RNA
Source: RNAcentral